GAUGAACGCUAGCUACAGGCUUAACACAUGCAAGUCGAGGGGUAACGAGAGGAAAGCUUGCUUUCCUUGUCGACGACCGGCGCACGGGUGAGUAACGCGUAUCCAACCUGCCCACAACUAGGGAAUAACCUUGCGAAAGUAAGACUAAUACCCUAUAAUUUCCUCAGAUGUCAUCUGACGAGGAAUAAAGAUUUAUCGGUUGUGGAUGGGGAUGAGUCUGAUGAGCUUGUUGGCGGGGUCACGGGCCACCAAGGCAACGAUCAGUAGGGGUUCUGAGAGGAAGGUCCCCCACAUUGGAACUGAGACACGGUCCAAACUCCUACGGGAGGCAGCAGUGAGGAAUAUUGGUCAAUGGGCGGAAGCCUGAACCAGCCAAGUAGCGUGCAGGAUGACGGCCCUAUGGGUUGUAAACUGCUUUUAUACAGGAAUAAAGUUAGCCACGUGUGGUUAUUUGUAGGUACUGUAUGAAUAAGGACCGGCUAAUUCCGUGCCAGCCGCCGCAGUAA
Molecule: ribosomal RNA, 506 nt
Filed under: uncultured bacterium
Lineage: Bacteria
Description: partial 16S ribosomal RNA
Rfam family: Bacterial small subunit ribosomal RNA
Source: RNAcentral